GACGAACGCUGGCGGCGUGCUUAACACAUGCAAGUCGAACGGAAAGGCCCUGCUUUUGUGGGGUGCUCGAGUGGCGAACGGGUGAGUAACACGUGAGUAACCUGCCCUUGACUUUGGGAUAACUUCAGGAAACUGGGGCUAAUACCGGAUAGGAGCUCCUGCUGCAUGGUGGGGGUUGGAAAGUUUCGGCGGUUGGGGCUGGACUCGCGGCUUAUCAGCUUGUUGGUGGGGUAGUGGCUUACCAAGGCUUUGACGGGUAGGCGGCCUGAGAGGGUGACCGGCCACAUUGGGACUGAGAUACGGCCCAGACUCGUACGGGAGGCAGCAGUGGGGAAUAUUGCACAAUGGGCGGAAGCCUGAUGCAGCAACGCCGCGUGCGGGAUGACGGCCUUCGGGUUGUAAACCGCUUUCGCCUGUGACGAAGCGUGAGUGACGGUAAUGGGUAAAGAAGCACCGGCUAACUACGUG
Molecule: ribosomal RNA, 468 nt
Filed under: uncultured bacterium
Lineage: Bacteria
Description: partial 16S ribosomal RNA
Rfam family: Bacterial small subunit ribosomal RNA
Source: RNAcentral